RNAcentral lists this ribosomal RNA (253 nucleotides) under uncultured bacterium. Its description in RNAcentral is "partial 16S ribosomal RNA". It matches the Rfam family "Bacterial small subunit ribosomal RNA", at positions 524 to 776 of the family's 1533-position model. The record is from RNAcentral.
UACAGAGGGGGCAAGCGUUGUUCGGAAUUACUGGGCGUAAAGGGCUCGUAGGCGGCCAACUAAGUCAGACGUGAAAUCCCUCGGCUUAACCGGGGAACUGCAUCUGAUACUGGAUGGCUAGAGAUUGGGAGAGGGAUGCGGAAUUCCAGGUGUAGCGGUGAAAUGCGUAGAUAUCUGGAGGAACACCGGUGGCGAAGGCGGCAUCCUGGACCAACACUGACGCUGAGGAGCGAGAGCCAGGGGAGCAAACGGG